UAGAGUUUGAUCCUGGCUCAGGACAAACGUUGGCGGUGCGUCUUAGACAUGCAAGUCGAGCGUGAAAGCCCGCAAGGGUGAGUAAAGCGGCGAACGGGUGAGUAAUACUUGGGUAACGUUCCUCCGAGAUUGGGAUAACACACCGAAAGGUGUGCUAAUACCAAAUAAGACCACGGGUUCUUCGGAACCUGAGGUCAAAGAUGGCCUCUAUUUAUAAGCUAUCACUUGGAGAUCGGCUCAAGCACCAUUAGCUAGUUGGUGGGGUAAUGGCCCACCAAGGCUACGAUGGUUAGCCGGCCUGAGAGGGUGACCGGCCACACUGGAACUGAGAUACGGUCCAGACUCCUACGGGAGGCAGCAGUUUGGGAUAUUCCACAAUGGGCGCAAGCCUGAUGGAGCGACACCGCGUGAAGGAUGAAGGUCUUCGGAUUGUAAACUUCUUUAGACGCAGAUGAAGAUUUCGGGGUGGAUAAUCCUGAAAUUUGACAGUACGCGUAGAAUAAGCCACGGCUAACUCUGUGCCAGCAGCCGCGGUAAUACAGAGGUGGCAAACGUUGUCCGGAUUUAUUGGGUGUAAAGGGCAUGUAGGUGGUUUUGUAAGUCAAAGGUGAAAUGGCCCGGCUCAACCAGGUCAUUGCCUUUGAAACUGCAGAACUUGAGUACGGAAGAGGAGAGCGGAAUUCCCAGUGUAGCGGUGAAAUGCGUAGAUAUUGGGAGGAACACCGGUGGCGAAAGCGGCUCUCUGGUCCGAAACUGACACUGAGAUGCGAAAGCCAGGGGAGCAAACGGGAUUAGAUACCCCGGUAGUCCUGGCCGUAAACGAUGAGAACUAGGUGUUAGAGGUAUCCACUCCUCUAGUGCCGCAGCUAACGCAUUAAGUUCUCCACCUGGGGACUACGACCGCAAGGUUGAAACUCAAAGAAAUUGACGGGGGCCCGCACAAGCAGUGGAGCAUGUGGUUCAAUUCGACGCAACGCGAAGAACCUUACCUGGGUUUGACAUCCUCUGACCGCCUAUGAAAGUAGGUUUCCUCGCAAGAGGCAGAGAGACAGGUGCUGCAUGGCUGUCGUCAGCUCGUGUCGUGAGAUGUUGGGUUAAGUCCCGCAACGAGCGCAACCCUUAUCUUUAGUUGCCAUCGGGUUAUGCUGGGCACUCUAAAGAGACUGCCGGUGACAAACCGGAGGAAGGCGGGGAUGACGUCAAGUCCUCAUGGCCUUUAUAUCCAGGGCUACACACGUGCUACAAUGGUCGGUACAAAGGGUUGCGAACCCGCGAGGGGGAGCCAAUCCCAAAAAGCCGGCCUCAGUUCAGAUUGGAGUCUGCAACUCGACUCCAUGAAGCUGGAAUUGCUAGUAAUCGCGGAUCAGAACGCCGCGGUGAAUACGUUCCCGGGCCUUGUACACACCGCCCGUCAAGUCACGAAAGCCAGUUGCACCAGAAGCGAUUGCGCUAACCCGCAAGGGGGGCAGAUUGCGAAGGUAUGACUGGUGAUUGGGACUAAGUCGUAACAAGGUAGCCGUAUCGGAAGGUGCGGCUGGAUCACCUCCUUA
This 1550-nucleotide ribosomal RNA is filed under the name uncultured bacterium. RNAcentral describes it as "bacterial SSU rRNA". It matches the Rfam family "Bacterial small subunit ribosomal RNA". The record is from RNAcentral.